GUCUUUGUCUCUCGCUCCCGCCAGAGCUUGGGAUCGGUCUUCACUGUUCCGCGUCCUCUACCUGGGAACCACCGACCCCCGCCCGGCGACUUUGUCACAGACUCUGUUGCCCUGUGAUCUGCAGGUCCUGGGAGACGCACAGCCAAGAUGCCAGGGCACCCUGGAAGCUGUGAAGUGGUUAUGUGAAUCCUCUUCUUCCCAGAUCCUGCCAAAAGGAAAGAUUGUGACAUAUCACUGGAACCAGCACUUAGGCUAUUGUGACAUAUGCCUGAGGCUAACACCCAGAUGAUAUAAGUCUUCAUCCUGGACCCUGUCUACAGAAGUCAUUGCGAUAUAUGUCUUCACCAAUCACUGAGGUCGAACGCCCAGUGAUGUGACUCUCCUUCCUGGUCCAUGCCCUCAGGGAAGAUUGUGACAUACCCCGGCCCAGCACACAGUUAAUGUCACUCUUGUGCUUGCUGUCUACCCAUGGGUAGGAUUGUGACAUAUAUCGUGGCCAAGCACAAAGAUGUAAUGACUGUCAUACCUCGAAGAAAGCAAUAGAGUUAAUGUUGCUCCUAGGU
Molecule: long non-coding RNA, 563 nt
Organism: Homo sapiens (human)
Lineage: Eukaryota; Metazoa; Chordata; Mammalia; Primates; Hominidae
Source: Ensembl